GGUUAAGCGACUAAGCGUACACGGUGGAUGCCCUGGCAGUCAGAGGCGAUGAAGGACGUGCUAAUCUGCGAUAAGCGUCGGUAAGGUGAUAUGAACCGUUAUAACCGGCGAUUUCCGAAUGGGGAAACCCAGUGUGAUUCGUCACACUAUCAUUAACUGAAUCCAUAGGUUAAUGAGGCGAACCGGGGGAACUGAAACAUCUAAGUACCCCGAGGAAAAGAAAUCAACCGAGAUUCCCCCAGUAGCGGCGAGCGAACGGGGAGCAGCCCAGAGCCUGAAUCAGUGUGUGUGUUAGUGGAAGCGUCUGGAAAGGCGCGCGAUACAGGGUGACAGCCCCGUACACAAAAAUGCACAUACUGUGAGCUCGAUGAGUAGGGCGGGACACGUGGUAUCCUGUCUGAAUAUGGGGGGACCAUCCUCCAAGGCUAAAUACUCCUGACUGACCGAUAGUGAACCAGUACCGUGAGGGAAAGGCGAAAAGAACCCCGGCGAGGGGAGUGAAAAAGAACCUGAAACCGUGUACGUACAAGCAGUGGGAGCCUCUUUAUGGGGUGACUGCGUACCUUUUGUAUAAUGGGUCAGCGACUUAUAUUCUGUAGCAAGGUUAACCGAAUAGGGGAGCCGAAGGGAAACCGAGUCUUAACUGGGCGUUAAGUUGCAGGGUAUAGACCCGAAACCCGGUGAUCUAGCCAUGGGCAGGUUGAAGGUUGGGUAACACUAACUGGAGGACCGAACCGACUAAUGUUGAAAAAUUAGCGGAUGACUUGUGGCUGGGGGUGAAAGGCCAAUCAAACCGGGAGAUAGCUGGUUCUCCCCGAAAGCUAUUUAGGUAGCGCCUCGUGAAUUCAUCUCCGGGGGUAGAGCACUGUUUCGGCAAGGGGGUCAUCCCGACUUACCAACCCGAUGCAAACUGCGAAUACCGGAGAAUGUUAUCACGGGAGACACACGGCGGGUGCUAACGUCCGUCGUGAAGAGGGAAACAACCCAGACCGCCAGCUAAGGUCCCAAAGUCAUGGUUAAGUGGGAAACGAUGUGGGAAGGCCCAGACAGCCAGGAUGUUGGCUUAGAAGCAGCCAUCAUUUAAAGAAAGCGUAAUAGCUCACUGGUCGAGUCGGCCUGCGCGGAAGAUGUAACGGGGCUAAACCAUGCACCGAAGCUGCGGCAGCGACGCUUAUGCGUUGUUGGGUAGGGGAGCGUUCUGUAAGCCUGUGAAGGUGUACUGUGAGGUAUGCUGGAGGUAUCAGAAGUGCGAAUGCUGACAUAAGUAACGAUAAAGCGGGUGAAAAGCCCGCUCGCCGGAAGACCAAGGGUUCCUGUCCAACGUUAAUCGGGGCAGGGUGAGUCGACCCCUAAGGCGAGGCCGAAAGGCGUAGUCGAUGGGAAACAGGUUAAUAUUCCUGUACUUGGUGUUACUGCGAAGGGGGGACGGAGAAGGCUAU
This 1439-nucleotide ribosomal RNA is filed under the name Escherichia coli. RNAcentral's name for it is "partial 23S ribosomal RNA". It matches the Rfam family "Bacterial large subunit ribosomal RNA", at positions 1 to 1485 of the family's 2925-position model. The record is from RNAcentral. Lineage: Bacteria; Pseudomonadati; Pseudomonadota; Gammaproteobacteria; Enterobacterales; Enterobacteriaceae.